CCAGAAGACUUUGUUGUAAAAUGUGGUUGUCUGCAGAGGAAAUGACACUUAGAUGGUCGGAUGGAAGGAACGGUCUUGCCUGAUUCUCUAACUCCUCUCAGAGUGCCUGUAUUUAGAAACUUCAGGACUUAAGGAGACUUCUGCUCACCGUGUUCCCUGGAGGCCUCGCGCUGAAGAGGACUGCAUCCUGGCGCGUGCUUCUCGCUCCUGUCUUGGCUGGGGGGCGAGGAGGCCGCGGAUUAUUCACUGGCUCUCAGAGCAUCCACCUGGAAGUGACACUCUGCACUUUUGCUCCUGCAUCACUGGCCAAAGGUUGGCAGGGACGCUGGUCACAUUGCUUUGCUCUGGGACGCAGCCUGAUGGAGCACCGGCUUUCAGGAACGUCACAGAUCUCGUGGAAGAGGGAGAAGGUGGGCAGUUGCAGGCCUCUUCCACAUGGACAACGAGUGUGUAAAUCCUGUGGACAGAUUGAUCUGAGAAGAGAGAGCAAAUGGCUGAGAUGGGCAUGCUGGGUCUUUCUCCUGAACUCAGCAAUCAGCUUGGAUAUGUGCAUCCACAUCACAAUUGGAGUAAAGAGGCAGAAAUGAAGAAAGCUGAAAUACAACUAUGCAAGUGAAUUGAGUUAUUGGAGGAGCUGGGGAGUGAUAAUUCUACUGAAUGCUGCUGGUUGGAGCUCAUUGGGAACAUUGUGGACCUGAAACUGUGGAGAGCAACUUCGACCAAGCAGAGAGAUCUCAGAGAAGGUCGGCCAAGUGGGACGGGACGUAGAGAAGGUCAGAGCCGUAGAUGGAAGGAGCUGGAUUUCUGAAUGACCGCAUGGAAGAUUGCCCGCCAAGCAGGAACAGUCGCAUUGGACUUUGCCUGAGUGAGAAAUCAACUUUAUUGUGUCGAAGCACCAAGAUUUUGGAGUAUAAAUGUGAAGCUGCUAGGGUCUUCUUAUUCCAACUGGUACUACAGGAUAUCCUCAAUGAGAGGAAAAAUAUGCAACUGAAGUUAGGGAUUGUGUACUGCCCUUUCCAGUCUUAAGAGAACUCAGAGAGGAGGCAGGAGCAGACAACUUAGCCCUGAGUGGCAUCCUGAGGCUUCCUGUUGCUAAUGUUUUCUCCUGUCUAAUUUAUAAACUUCGUGAGACAUGUUGCCAUGUCUUGUACCUUUUUCUAUAUUUAACAUUUCAGUGGAUAUUUAUUGAGAAAUGACAUAUACUUUGGGGAUUUCAAAAGAAAUAUAGGUAACACAUAUUGUUAAAUAUUUUGUUCAUUUAUUCAACAAUUUUUGACCAUUUGCUAUGGGCCGGCCACUGGUAAAUGCUGAUGAGCAAAAGCUACAGUACCUGCCCAUGAGUUGGAGUACAGCAAGGAAAACAAGAUAACAAAGAGGCAAGACUAGUCCAGUAUGAUAAUGCUAUGAGGAAGAAGAACAGGAUGUUCUGGGUGCUCACAAAGGGGCUGGUGACAAAGGUAGCAGUCAGAGAAUUGUUCUCUAAGGAGGUGAUGAAUAAACUGAGACCUCAAGGAUAAGUAGGAGUAGCCAGAAGAAGAAACAGCGGAGAGAGAAAGAGCGUUCUAGGAAGAGGGCGUGCACAUACAAAAUCCUGAAGGUGGGGCGUGUUUGGAGGGACCAAAAGGUAAGCUGGAAAGGAAGAAUGGAGAGGAUGAGCAUGAGAUGAGGGCCACGUAAUAUAUUUGGGCACAUUCCUAAUAAAUGCAUACAGAAGGCCUUGUACUGUAAUAUGUGUAUGCAUUUACCUAGCAGAAAAUAUGGCCGAUUAACCAGCAAGAUGUCAACAGUUGUGAUAUUUGGGUAAUUUCCAUUUUUCCCCUUAUGCUUUUCUGUUUAAAACUUUCCACAAUAAACACGUAUUACACUUGUAAUAAAAAAAUCAAAAUAGGGCCAGCCCCAUGGCCGAGUGGUUAAAGUUCCGCGCACUCUGCUUUGGCGGCCCGGGGUUUGCGGGUUUGGAUCCUGGGCCUGGACCUGCUCCACUCAUCAGCCAUGCGGUGGUGGCAUCCCACAUACUAAGUAGAGGAAGAUUGGCACAGAUGUUAGCUCAGGGCUAAUCGUCCUCAAGCAAAAAAAAGAGGAAGAUUGGCACAGAUGUUAGCUCAGGGCGAAUCUUCCUCACGCACACACAAAAUAAAUCAAAGUCAAUGUUUUUCUUAUUAGUUAUAGCUGCACCUGCUGUCCAUCAUUGGAUCCUCACAAAAGUCCUCUGAGCAAACAGAGGUCCAGAGCUGAUCUCCAGGGAAGCUGGAAUCAGCCUUCCUAAGGCCCCGCUCAGUCCCCUUUCUCCGCGGCUCCUGCCUCCUCUGCAGUUUUCUGAGUGGUGACGAUGGCUUUUCUUGUUGCUGCUGUCUUCAGGGCAGUGGUGCGUGUGUGUGUAGUUUGCAACCUGGAGAAACCGGGUCACCAUCUUCAUGAUCCUGACAUACCUAGGAGGCUUCCCACCUGAAGAGGUGGGUCCCCUGCAUCAGUAGCCCCAGACUUAUCUUCUUUGUGGUGCUGUUAUGUUCUGUCAUUGGCAGUAGGGGAGAAGGUCACUGCUAAUUUUUAAAAAUGAAGUUAGGGAGGAGAUUGUUGCCCGUUAUUCCGUCAACCCACAUCUUGAUCGACUAGCAUGUGGGUGCUUGGCCACACCAGUGAUGAUGAGUAUUUUCAGUGAACACCCAAACACUUGAGAGUCUUGAAACACUGUAUUAGCAUUUUCUAAAUUAUGUUGUGGCAACAAACCAGCCCUCAGAUCUCAGAGGCUUAAAACACACGAGUUUAUUUCAUAUGCAUGUUACGUUCCCAUCCUGACUUAGGCGUUAACUCUUUACUCUGAGACCCAGGCUGAAGGAGCAGCCCCCGUCUGAGAUAUUGCUGUGUGUCCCAGGGAAGAGGAGGAGGUGACACCGUGGGAUAGCUCUUAAAGCUUUGCCCGCAUGUCACUUCCACUCAUCUUUGAUUGGUCAAUCAAUUUGAUUGACCAAGGCUUGAUGGGGAGGGAGGGGCAGCAAAUGGUUUGGCAAACACCUUUUCAGCAAACUGAGUCUCAGUUUCUUUAGCUACAAAAUGGAAAUAGGUAAAAUACGUUAUGUUAUAUUCAAACCAUCGAAUAUCAUGUAGUCAUUUUAAAAGAUGAGUUAAUUGCCCUUAAAAAGAUGAGUUGACUUGAAGAAAAGCCCAUGAUACAACAUUACAUGAAGGAAGCAAGUUGCAGAGUCAUGUGCAUAGCAUGGGCUUAUUUUUGCAUAAAUUAAAAAAAACCCUAUAUCGGAGUAUAUUUGUUUGCAUGAGAAUAUUAAUAAAAACUGCCAACGUUUAUUGAGUGCUUAUAUCACAUGCUCAUCACUGUGCUAAGUGCCUUUUUACAUGCAUUUGCUCAUUUAAUCCUUCGGAAGCUCAGAGAAAAGAGUAGAAAGUUACAUAUCAAAUGGUUAUGAUCAGCUACCUUACUUGAGGGUGGGAUUAGAGAGAUUUUAUUCACUUUUUAAAAUAUAUGAUUUCUAUAAAUUUUUACUUGUCACAAUUGGUGGAUUAAUCAGCUUUUGUUGUGAAACAAACUGCCACAGAAUCUGAGUGCUGUAGAGUGUUAAGUAUUUUAUUUUCCGCUUGUGGGUCCGCAGACCAGCUGAGGCGUCAGCCUUCCCAAGUCCCCAUCCCCUUUCUCCCCACUGUGCCUGCCUCCCCUGCACAUUUCUAAGGAGUGAUGAUGGCUUUUCCUGGAGCUGCUGACUUUAGUGCAGUGUUGUGUGUAUUCACGUGUAACCUGGAGAAAUAGGGCUGGGGGUCAAAUUCAGAUCUGCUCCAUGUGUCUCAUUCUAGAAUCAUCCUAGAGAGGCAGAAUCUACCAGGGAUCUGUUCCCCUCAUGGCGGAGAUUGGAGUCAAUGGAAACACAGGAAGGUUUUUGAGACCGAGGCUUUGAAUUAGUAUGUCAUCACUUUGCCUGCAUCAUGUUAGUUGCAGCAAGUCACUUGGCCAAGUCUAAUAUCAGUGGAGCUGGGAAGUCAUGGAGGUUGUGGAAGGGGGAGUUUAUAGCAAUAUACUACAAUAAGCAUUAAUUGCUUUCUUGGUUAAAAAAAAUAACAAAGUGAGGAAAAGAGAAAUACUUACCAGGGAUAGUUUAAAUUGCGUUCAAUAUGUUCCAAAGGUGCAUUAUGCAUUUCUUAAAAAUUCAAACUCCAUAUCUACAGUUAUGAUGAGCACAGUGACAUGAGCACGGACGUUUAAUGAACAGAGUCUUCAUCGCCUGGUGGGGCAGGGAGGCGUUUGCACCAGCUUGGCUUAUGCUGCCUGUGGUGUGGCAGAAUGCAUUAUCUGGAG
This is a long non-coding RNA of Equus asinus (donkey), 4303 nucleotides long. NCBI's taxonomy places the organism in Eukaryota, Metazoa, Chordata, Mammalia, Perissodactyla, Equidae. The record is from Ensembl.